RNAcentral lists this long non-coding RNA (1234 nucleotides) under Sus scrofa (pig). RNAcentral describes it as "lncRNA (ENSSSCG00055030980.1)". The record is from RNAcentral. Lineage: Eukaryota; Metazoa; Chordata; Mammalia; Artiodactyla; Suidae.
AGAAGAUUAAAGAGCGCGAGGAGAUCUCACAGACCAGUGGAAUAAAGGCCUUUUGCAUAUGAGGAUCAGGUGACAAGUUAACUGGCUACCAACCUCCAAAGCAAUUCGCCCUUUCAUGGUGAGGUCCCAAUUUUAACAGACUAAAGAAAGAGGUUUAAGACUAAAAAUGUCAAGUUAUAUCCAUUUUUAGGAAGAAGUCUUUAUGCUUACCUGCCUUAAGAUGCCAGCAUUUUAAGAUUACUUCUAUACCAGGAAAAUACAGAUAUAGUUCAUGUGUACACUGAUAAUGACUAGCUCCUGAAAGGCAGUAUGAGUUUAAAUGGAGUACUAGAGGAAAGAACAGCUUACAUGUGAGGGUUACAAUUUUGUGUAUAUUUGGGGAGAGCGGGGGGCAGGUGUUCAGAACUACUAGUUGAUGUGAUAUUAGUUUCUUAAGAGGUUAAGUUGGAAAGUUUUUGAGACCCACAAAUAUCCAACUACUCUUGUUGUCAAAUUAAUAUGAAUUUGACUACUUGAUAUAGGAAUAAAAUUUUAAGGAGAAAGCCAUUUUUAAUGAAAUACCUUUUAUCUCAGUAGUCAAUCUUUAGAAGACUUUCUGACCAAACUGGAAUUCCUAGAAAAAAAGGAAAAAUAGGACUAAACUGAAAAAUAAGAUCGUUUUAGAAGAGCAUACAACUAAGUCUCUGUAAAGUUUCCAAAAUAUAUAAAUAAAUUGCAAAUUAUUUGAAUUAUUUUAGAAUAAAGAGUAAGGAAAGAUUAUUCAAAACAUUUGGUAUGUAGAGUGAAACUUGAUGGGCACUCAUUUAUUUGAAUUUUUUUCUUUUGAAAUGGAUAUUUAAAUUCAUCGACUUUUUCUAGACACUGGGAUGUCACAAUGAACAGGGAUAAAAUUACCUGCUCCUGUGGGUGAGGGGUGGGGUUUGUAUACUAAUGUCACAUAAACUUUGUGUACUUUAGAUUACUAGAAAAUAUUUUUGGAUGAAACCAUAAAACCUCUUUUAGCAUUUUGGGGAAUAUGAUUUGAAAACUCUUACAGUCUUGUGAGGGGUAGGGAGGUAUUUACCAGUUACCGAUGAUAGAUAAAAGAGCUUACUUUAUUUCUUAUUUGUACCCUUUGUUAUUGCAUGAAACAUUAUUCAAACAUUUCAGUAGGUCUUUUUAACGGAUAGAGGUUUUAUUUUUUUCAUAAUUUUAAGCAUGACUUUGAAAUAAAUAAAAUGUUAUUUUAUAUUGA